UUGUGGCUCAGCGGUAGAGCGCUCGCCUAGCAUGUGUGAGGUUCUGGGUUCAAUCCUCAGCAA
This 63-nucleotide transfer RNA is filed under the name Ictidomys tridecemlineatus (thirteen-lined ground squirrel). Its description in RNAcentral is "Spermophilus tridecemlineatus (thirteen-lined ground squirrel) tRNA". It matches the Rfam family "tRNA", at positions 5 to 66 of the family's 71-position model. From Rfam's summary of the family: Transfer RNA (tRNA) molecules are approximately 80 nucleotides in length. The record is from Rfam by way of RNAcentral. Lineage: Eukaryota; Metazoa; Chordata; Mammalia; Rodentia; Sciuridae.